UGGGGAAUUUUGUACAAUGGGGGAAACCCUGAUCCAGCCAUCCCGCGUGUGCGAUGAAGGCCUUCGGGUUGUAAAGCACUUUUGGCAGGAAAGAAACGUCAUGGGUUAAUACCCCGUGAAACUGACGGUACCUGCAGAAUAAGCACCGGCUAACUACGUGCCGGCAGCCGCGGUAAUACGUAGGGUGCAAGCGUUAAUCGGAAUUACUGGGCGUAAAGCGUGCGCAGGCGGUUCGGGAAGAAAGAUGUGAAAUCCCAGAGCUCAACUUUGGAACUGCAUUUUUAACUACCGGGCUAGAGUGUGUCAGAGGGAGGUGGAAUUCCGCGUGUAGCAGUGAAAUGCGUAGAUAUGCGGAGGAACACCGAUGGCGAAGGCAGCCUCCUGGGAUAACACUGACGCUCAUGCACGAAAGCGUGGGGAGCAAACAGG
This 429-nucleotide ribosomal RNA is filed under the name Acidobacteriota bacterium. Its description in RNAcentral is "Acidobacteria bacterium partial 16S ribosomal RNA". It matches the Rfam family "Bacterial small subunit ribosomal RNA", at positions 355 to 776 of the family's 1533-position model. The record is from RNAcentral. Lineage: Bacteria; Pseudomonadati; Acidobacteriota.